This 1473-nucleotide long non-coding RNA is filed under the name Sus scrofa (pig). RNAcentral's name for it is "lncRNA (ENSSSCG00050045677.1)". The record is from RNAcentral. Lineage: Eukaryota; Metazoa; Chordata; Mammalia; Artiodactyla; Suidae.
AAAAGAUAGGCCAAAGUUAUGGUCCUGUUUACCUGAGGUGCUCACUGAGUUACCCGUAUUAAAAGCUCGUUAUCCUCACUUGAUUAAUAAUAGCUUCCAGGAACUGUCUUAGGAGAAAUUCAGAAUCUGAUUGUUAGUUCACUGGGAAAAAGUGCCACAGUCAAUUAAUAAUGUCUGCCUUGAGCAUGGGAAAAAAGUGGAAGUAACUUAUGUGCCAUAUAUUUGUAUGGAUUAUUUUUAUUGAUACUUAAAGGGGUUCUUUUACUUGAAAUUUUAUGAAGAGUACAAGGAUCACCUGGGAAUGUCUGAACCCCCUCUAUUGAAAGCGCACUAAUAUAUAACUAAUCAGACAAGAGACAAUAAAAAUAUACGCAGACCACGUGGAAAAUAAAAACCAAUUCUAGACAUUGGCAGUGGAUAAAUCUCAGACCUUGGCAGAUCCUAUGUGAAAAUCCCACAAUGGCAGUUCAUGGAACAGUAAGACCAUACUGGACGCUUGAGCGCAUGGUUGGCUAGGACCAUCCACCUACCAACUGACUUCUCUUGCACGUCAGUGAUCAUGACGUAAAUCUGGGCUUCUGAAAACUCAAAAUCUGCCUCAGGUUAUGAAACUUCAAGGUCACUCUCUGUGGUGGGAGUUUAUCUGGAUCAUCCAGGUAGGCGCAGUCUAACAUGGAGAAGCAAAAGAUCCAGUAUAUUCAACACAAUAUAGAAGAAGAAAAAAUUUGGAGGACUGGAAUAACCUGACUUCUACACUAUAAAGAUAUAAUAAUCAAGACAGUGUGGUAUUGGUGAAAGAACAGACAGAUAGACCAGUAGAACAUAAAUAGACUCACGUAAACGUAUUCAACUGAUCUUUGCCAAAGGAGCAAAGGCAAUACAAUGGAGCAGAGAGAGGUUUUCAAUCAGUGAUGCUGGGACAACUAAACAUCCACUUGCAAAAAAAAAAAAAAAAAGAUCCAACAAACAAAGCAAACAGCAACAACAAAAAUCUAGAUGCAUAUGAUGAUCAUUAUACCACUACAGAUGUGAUAAAUUCAUUGAAUUAAAAAAAUCUAGAUAUAAACCGAUAUGCCCUUUACAAAAAUUAACUCAAGAUGGAUGGUGGACCUAAAUGUCAAAGGCAAAACUGUAAAACCCCGGAGGGUAACAUGGGAGAAAAUCUAGAUGACCCUCAAUAUGCUGAUACCUUUUUGGAUCUAACACCAAAAGCAAGAUUCAUGAAAGAAAUACUUGAUAAACUGAGCUUAAUUGAAAUUAAAACCGUUUCUGUGAAAGAUAAUGUCAAGAGAAGGCGAAGACAAGCCACAGCUGGGAGAAAAACAUUUGCAAAACACACAUCUGAUGAAGGACUGUUAUCCCAGAAUGUACAAAGAACGGUUAAAACUUAGGAAGAAAACAACCUGAUCAAAAGAUAGACUGAAGAUCUCGACACCUCAUCAAAGAUAUACAGACGGCAAAAAGAAUAUGAAG